CAUAAUUGCUUUAAUCAUAGUUUGGUUUAUAAUAGCAAAGUUGUUUUUACAACUAUAGCAAUAAAUGCUUUGUGUAAUAGAAUUAGACGGACCCGGGGGCGGUACCCGGCGCCUCCACCAUAAAAUGAGGGGGCGAAAUAGGUUUGACGUUAGUUUAAAGAUAAAGACUUUGCUCGGUAUGGUACCACCGUUAUCGGACUAAAAUUAUAAAUGCUAACGAUAAUAGAUUAGCACUCGCUGCUUAGAUUCUAGGCUAGCGCGGUCUGGGGCACCGGGCAACAGAAGUUCCUACG
This 293-nucleotide transfer-messenger RNA is filed under the name Alphaproteobacteria bacterium. It matches the Rfam family "Alphaproteobacteria transfer-messenger RNA". From Rfam's summary of the family: Bacterial tmRNA, also known as 10Sa RNA or SsrA, is named for its dual tRNA and mRNA-like properties. The record is from RNAcentral. Lineage: Bacteria; Pseudomonadati; Pseudomonadota; Alphaproteobacteria.